UAAGGAAUAUUGCGCAAUGGGGGAAACCCUGACGCAGCAACGCCGCGUGGAGGAUGACACUUUUCGGAGCGUAAACUCCUUUUAUCAGGAAAGAAUAAUGACGGUACCUGAUGAAUAAGCACCGGCUAACUCCGUGCCAGCAGCCGCGGUAAUACGGGGGGUGCAAGCGUUACUCGGAAUCACUGGGCGUAAAGGACGCGUAGGCGGAUUAUCAAGUCUUUUGUGAAAUCUAGUGGCUUAACCACUAAACUGCUUAGGAAGCUGAUAGUCUAGAGUAGGGGAGAGGUAGAUGGAAUUCUUGGUGUAGGGGUAAAAUCCGUAGAGAUCAAGAAGAAUACCCAUUGCGAAAGCGAUCUGCUGGAACCUAACUGACGCUGAGGCGUGAAAGCGUGGGUAGCAAACAGG
This 405-nucleotide ribosomal RNA is filed under the name bacterium. Its description in RNAcentral is "partial 16S ribosomal RNA". It matches the Rfam family "Bacterial small subunit ribosomal RNA", at positions 355 to 776 of the family's 1533-position model. The record is from RNAcentral.